GUGGGGAAUAUUGGGCAAUGGGGGAAACCCUGACCCAGCAACGCCGCGUGAAGGAAGAAGGCUUUCGGGUUGUAAACUUCUUUUACCGAGGACGAAGAACGUGACGGUACUCGGAGAAAAAGCCACGGCUAACUACGUGCCAGCAGCCGCGGUAAUACGUAGGUGGCAAGCGUUGUCCGGAUUUACUGGGUGUAAAGGGCGUGUAGGCGGAGAUGCAAGUCAGGAGUGAAAUCUCGGGGCUCAACCCCGAAACUGCUUUUGAAACUGUAUCCCUUGAGUAUCGGAGAGGCAGGCGGAAUUCCUAGUGUAGCGGUGAAAUGCGUAGAUAUUAGGAAGAACACCAGUGGCGAAGGCGGCCUGCUGGACGACAACUGACGCUGAGGCGCGAAAGCGUGGGGAGCAAACAGGAUUAGAAACCCUAGUAGUCC
This 428-nucleotide ribosomal RNA is filed under the name uncultured bacterium. Its description in RNAcentral is "bacterial SSU rRNA". It matches the Rfam family "Bacterial small subunit ribosomal RNA", at positions 354 to 796 of the family's 1533-position model. The record is from RNAcentral.